This 253-nucleotide ribosomal RNA is filed under the name uncultured bacterium. RNAcentral's name for it is "partial 16S ribosomal RNA". It matches the Rfam family "Bacterial small subunit ribosomal RNA", at positions 524 to 776 of the family's 1533-position model. The record is from RNAcentral.
UACGAAGGGGGCGAGCGUUGUUCGGAUUUACUGGGCGUAAAGGGCGCGCAGGCGGCUCAUUUUGUCAGGCGUGAAAGCCCCGGGCUUAACCUGGGAACUGCGUUUGAUACGGAUGGGCUAGAGUUCGGGAGAGGAGAGUGGAAUUCCCAGUGUAGAGGUGAAAUUCGUAGAUAUUGGGAAGAACACCGGUGGCGAAGGCGGCUCUCUGGACCGAGACUGACGCUGAGGAGCGAAAGCGUGGGGAGCGAACAGG